Molecule: microRNA precursor, 95 nt
Filed under: Tetraodon nigroviridis (spotted green pufferfish)
Lineage: Eukaryota; Metazoa; Chordata; Actinopteri; Tetraodontiformes; Tetraodontidae
Description: microRNA 96 (ENSTNIG00000020182.1)
Rfam family: mir-96 microRNA precursor family (bases 9-84)
Source: RNAcentral
CAACUCCUUCGCCCAUUUUGGCACUAGCACAUUUUUGUUUCGUUUCUGGCUGUCAGCAAUCGUGUGCAGUGCCAAUCUAGGACAAGAGAGGCGCU